CUUGCAACCCACAAUUUCUCCGAAGAAUCUAAGAUUGGACAAGGAGGAUUUGGCAAAGUCUAGAAGGGACUAUUGGGUGGUCAAGAAGUCGCAAUCAAUAGGCUAAGUAGAGAUUCUCAACAAGGAACAAAAGAAUUAAAGAACGAAGUAAUUCUAAUUGCAAAAUUGCAACAUAGAAAUUUGGUUCGACUUCUUGGGUGUUGUGGUGAAGGAGAUGAAAAGCUCUUGAUAUAUGAGUAUCUGCCUAACAAGAGCUUAGAUGCUACCCUAUUUGAUGACUCAAGAAAAUUGUUAUUGGAUUGGACAACACGGUUUAAUAUAAUCAAAGGAGUUGCAAGGGGGCUUCUAUAUCUUCACGAAGACUCAAGGUUCACCAUAAUUCAUAGGGAUCUAAAAGCUGGAAAUAUUUUGUUGGAUGCAUAUACGAAACCCAAGAUAGCGGAUUUUGGUAUGGCGGGGAUCUUUGGUGAUAACCAGCAAAAUGAAAAUACUCAACGCGUAGUUGGAACAUAUGGCUACAUGGCUCCUGAGUAUGCAAUGGAAGGUGUAUUCUCUACCAAAUCUGAUGUCUACAUCUUCGGCGUAUUACUAUUGGAGGUUAUAACUGGUAUAAGGAGAAAUUCCAAUUGUGAAACCAUGGGCUUUUCCAUCCUCGCUCUUCAUGUGAGUACAUACAAGACAUCUAUCAAGUUCCAUUUCUAA
RNAcentral lists this ribosomal RNA (702 nucleotides) under Triticum aestivum (bread wheat). RNAcentral describes it as "partial small subunit ribosomal RNA". Lineage: Eukaryota; Viridiplantae; Streptophyta; Magnoliopsida; Poales; Poaceae. The record is from RNAcentral.